GAAAAUAUAAAAAUUUUAAUGCUUAUCAAGAAAGUAUAGCAUUAUCAUUAUGUAAUAAAUGGAUUGAUAUAAAUAGUGUUUAAAUUAAAAAAAAAAUGAACUCGCUACAAGAAAGUAAUGGUAACCAGACACUUGUAUUAUUUGUUACUAUAUAUAUAGUAACAAGAUUUGAAAAUAUAUCGUGUAAUUUUAACCAAUUGAAGAAAUAUUCUUUUUAAUUAAACCAUACUUUUCUUAUAAGUUAAUGUAAAUAUACGUAAUUUAUAUAAUUCAUUAAAUUUCUGAAAAAACUGUUACUACAAUUUAUAAUGAACAAGAAGUAGAAGUUAGAAGUAAUUUUGAAAAAAUUAAAGUUUGAAAGGUUUUACAUAAUAUUGUAUUUAUGUACAUAUAUUAAUGUUUCAAAAUACACUGAUGUAUGAUGUACUUAUAAAUAUACUUUAAUAAAGAAAAGACAUGAAUUUUAUUUUGUCAGUACGAUCAUACUGUUCUAAUACUUCUGGCCCAAUAAAAAAAAGUGCAAACUUAAUUAGAAAUGAAUUUUUAGAUUAUUUUAAACAAGAUUUAGGACAUACUUUUAUUCGAUCAAGUCCUGUUGUACCUCUUAAUGAUCAUACAGUUGCAUUUGUUAAUGCUGGAAUGAAUCAAUUUAAGGGAGUUUUCUUAAAUUAUUAUGAUCCACCUGUGCUGAAAGCUGUGAACUCACAAAAAUGUAUUAGAGUUAGUGGAAAACACAAUGAUUUAAAUGUAGUUGGAAGUGAUACUUAUCAUCACACAUUCUUUGAAAUGUUAGGAAAUUGGUCUUUUGGAGAAUAUUUUAAGGAAAAGGCAUGCCGUUAUGCUUGGGAUCUAUUAACAAACCAAUAUAAUAUUAAUAAAGAAUUUUUACAUGUAACUUAUUUUGGUGGAGAUGAAAAAUUGAAAUUAGAAGCUGAUUUAGAAUGUAGAGAUAUUUGGUUAAGUAUUGGUGUUGCAAAAGACAAAAUUAUACCAUUUGGAUUACAAGAAAACUUUUGGGAAAUGGGAAUCUCAGGACCAUGUGGUCCUUGUACAGAGAUACAUAUAGAUUAUACAAAACAAUUAUCAAAUCGAUCAAUGCAAGUUAAUAAAGCUUCUUCAGCUCUCACAGAAUUAUGGAACAUAGUUUUCAUACAAUACCUAAGAUUACCAGAUGGUACAAUAGUACCUCUUCCAAAACAUCAUGUUGAUACAGGCAUGGGACUUGAGAGAUUAGUUGCAUUAUUACAAGGAAAAAGCUCAAAUUAUGAUACAGAUCUUUUCCAGCCUCUUUUUAAAGCCAUUCAGAAGUACACAAAAGCUCCAGAUUAUGAGGGUAAAUUUUAUAAUGAUGAAGUUGGACUUGACAGUGGAUAUAGGGUAUUGGCAGAUCAUAGUAGAAUGAUUUCUGUGGCUCUAGCAGAUGGAAUGAUUCCAGAACAAAGUAAUAAACUUAGAAAAAUAAUAAGAAAAGCAAUUGAUGUAGGUGAAAAGGUAUUUAAGAAGCAAGGAAUACUUCAUGAACUCUCAUAUGCUGUAGCAGAAAAUUUAGGAGAUGUUUAUCCAGAAUUGCAGGAUAAUCUUAAAACGGUACAGAAAAUAAUAAAAUUUGAAGAGGAAUUAUAUAUAAAAUUACAAAAUACUUCUGGUAAAGAAUGGAAAAAAAUUGUUGCAACACGUCCUCAACUAGUAUCUAUAUCUGAAUGGACAGCUCCUGGACUAGUAAAUGGAUAUAAGUAUCUACAAAGUACACUUAAAGAAUUGAAAGCAACUGAUACAUUAACAGGAAAAGUUGCUUUUAAAUUAUAUGAUACACAUGGUUUAAGUGUAGAAACAAUAAGUGAACUAGCAGAAGUUGAAUCAUUAAAUUUUGAUAGUCUAGCCUUUCAAAAUGAAUUAGAAAAACUCAGGAAUCAGUCAAGAAUUGGCUUAGUAAAGAGCAGUGAAGUGAUGCUGAGGAAAUCUCUGGAAACGCUUCAGAAAAAUCAUGUACUUAAAACUGAUGACAGUUUUAAAUAUAAAUAUAUUCAUGAUGGAGAUAAUUAUCAGUUCCCUACCAUUGACAGUAAAAUUGUAGCAUUAAUAAUAAAUGAUAACAUAAUAUUUAACCGAGGAGACGAAAAUAUAUAUUCCAUUAUAUCCAAAAAUACUGCAAAUUAUGGUAUAAAAUCGGACGAAGAUGAAAUUGGAAUUAUACUGGAUAAAACAGUAUGUUAUUCAUUGGAAGGUGGUCAAAUAUCAGAUAAAGGCUCCAUUAGUACAAAAGAGUUAAAUUUCAGCAUAAAUAAUGUGAGAAAAAUUAAUGAUUACGUUAUACAUUUCGGAAAGUUUAAUCAAAGCGAUUUAAAAAUUUGGGGUGAAAAAUUAAAAAUUGGUGACAGUUGUAUAGUUUCUAUUUUACCUGAAUUUCGAAUUGGAACAAUGCAGCAUCAUACUGCAGCACAUCUGUUAAGUGCAUGUGUAAAGGAAAUUAUUCAGGGAGUUUAUCCGCGUAAUUCUCUCAUUCUUCCCCAUAAUUUAAAGUUUCAAUUUAAUUCUUUUGGAGAAAAACUUUCUCGUAAGCAGCUGGAAGAAAUCGAAAAACGUGUAAAUAGCGCUAUAGAAGCCAAUGUUCCAAUCACUACAAAAAUAUUAAAUUCAUUAGAAUUGUUAACAGAAGAUUCUGUAUCAUUAAUACCUGGAGAAAUCUAUCCUUAUACGGGUAUCAGAGUUGUAGAAGUAGAUUCGCUGAAUUUAAAAUCAAAAGAAGCAUGUUGCGGCACACACGUAUUUAAAACAGGAAUAUUAGAACAUUUUUAUUUCCAAAGUUACUAUUCAAAAGGAGCGGCAAAUUUUAAUGUUAAAGCUGUUGUAGGACCACCUGCAACAGUUGCUAAAUUAAUGGCUGAAAAAGUGCAGUCUAGAAUUUUUGCUUUAGAGGAAAAAUUAAAAACUGAAGAAAUUACAUAUGAAACAUUUAAAUCAAUUAGUAAAGAAAUUGAGCAUGAAAUGAAUAAUAAAGAUGAUGAAAAAGUAUCAGUACCAUAUCUUAUUAAAGAAGACUGUUUAAUAAAAUUAAAAGAUUUAAAUGAUCUCGCUAAGAUGAGAGCGAAAGAAAUAGAAAAGUCUUUUAUAAAUAUGGAGAUAAAAAAUGAAUUCAACGCAACGCCUUCUUUUGUCGUUCAUUGUUUGCAUAAGAACCUCGUGCAUUUAUCACUUCAGGAAGCUGUAUCUCUUUAUCCAAAUAUGCCAAUACUUAUUAUUGUACACCAUAAUGGAACAAUAAAAGCAUGGUGUUCUGUACCGCAGGACCUUGUAUCUGAUUCGUUCAAUGCACGAACGUGGAUGAACAUCGUUCUUGAUGUUUUUAAUGCGAAAUAUGUUCCAACCAAGGGUUUUGAUCCGUCUUUAGUUGCUAGUAUGAAAACCAUAAGUAUUUCAGAAGCUUCACAGAAACAUCUAAUAAACGAAGCAACUGAAGAAGCUAGAACUUUUGCAUUUACACAUGUAAAAAACAGUUGAAAUUCUAUUUUACAAACACCCAACUAAUGUUGCACUGCGUGUUCUUCCUGCUUUACAAUGUACAUAAACACUUCCAUGAGGAUAAUUGCAAAAAUUCAACAUUGUGUAUCUGCCAUUCCUAAAAUAAAAAUGUUAGAAAAUACUCGUAAUUCAUAAUCUUCAUUCAUCGAAACAACAGCUUUAACAUUUUCUUCAGUUAUUAACUGAAAUUUUAAAUAG
RNA transcript from Osmia bicornis bicornis, 3717 nucleotides. It is a transcript of the gene named alanine--tRNA ligase, mitochondrial, with no coding region annotated. NCBI's taxonomy places the organism in Eukaryota, Metazoa, Arthropoda, Insecta, Hymenoptera, Megachilidae. The transcript is spliced from 15 exons. The record is from RefSeq and is a predicted model, not a curated record.